AUGACAAUGUUUUCAUGGUGAUGGAAUACAUGGAACAUGACCUCAAGGGGCUUAUGCAGACGAUGAAACAACCCUUUAGUACAAGUGAAAUCAAAUGCUUAAUGCUACAGUUGUUGGAAGGUGUCAAGUAUCUUCACGAUAACUGGGUGCUUCAUAGGGAUUUGAAGACAUCAAACCUUCUUUUGAACAAUCAAGGGGAAUUAAAAAUAUGCGAUUUUGGGAUGUCACGCCAGUAUGGGAGCCCAUUGAAGCCAUAUACAUCUCUUGUGGUUACUUUGUGGUACAGGGCACCCGAGCUUCUGCUGGGGGCAAAGCAAUAUUCAACAGCAAUGGACAUGUGGUCUGUGGGUUGCAUAAUGGCUGAACUGUUGGCCAAGGAACCACUAUUCAGAGGGAAAGGCGAAAUUGAUCAGCUUGGCAAGAUUUUCAGAAUUCUUGGCACACCAAGUGAGACAAUUUGGCCUGGAUUUUCCAAAUUGCCAGGGGCUAAAGCAAAUUUUGUUCGGCAGCCGUAUAAUCUGUUGCGCAACAAGUUUCCUGCCUCAUCUUUCACGGGAUCUCCAGUUCUCUCUGAUUUGGGAUUUGACUUGUUGAACAAGCUUCUAACUUAUGAUCCAGAAAAGCGAAUAACAGCUGAUGCUGCCCUCAACCAUGCUUGGUUUCAUGAGGUUCCUUUACCUAAAUCUAAAGAAUUCAUGCCUACUUUCCCCCCUCAGCAUGCAAAGAAAAGAUAGAAGCCAGACCGCUAGAAGCAUCCUACUAUCUGAGUGAAUGUGUAGACUCUCUGUUAGCUUAUCUUGGGGUGUUUGAAAAGCUCAGAAUUUUCCUGGAGGAGAAUGAGGAAAGUGUCAGGUGUUAUCAGAGACUGGUGGAUUGUAUAUUUUUAAAGAACUAAUGCUUCAAAUCUUCUUGCAGAUGCAUGUCUGUAAUGAUUUUUUAGUCUUCUUUAACUGAAGAUCUUGGCUGUUGACCUUUCCCCUUUUGACAUUCAUCUUUGUGUUCAGGAUUGUGUUUUUCAAAAGAAAGAGAUUGACUCACACAGUCCCAUGGGAGACAUAUCUUUCUUUGUAAUGAUCCUGUAGCCUCCUAGAACUGUAAGGUCUUGGGUGUUGACAGAACUCUUUUGACAUCUACUUUCAGUUCUUCCCAAAGUUGGCUUGAGUUCUAGUUGUAAAUGGUUCGACUUAACUCAAGCCAACUUUGGGAAGAACUGAA
This 1215-nucleotide unclassified non-coding RNA is filed under the name Hevea brasiliensis (rubber tree). The record is from RNAcentral. Lineage: Eukaryota; Viridiplantae; Streptophyta; Magnoliopsida; Malpighiales; Euphorbiaceae.